UCCUCCUUGUAUGGAGGCAGUUCGGCCAGAGUGAUACAACUGACCGUAGGGGUUGCGCUCGUUACAGGACUUAACCUAACAUCUCACGACACGAGCUGACGACAGCCAUGCAGCAUCUGUGUAACAGCCUCGAAGGGGGCCCCUGUUUCUAGGGGUUUCCAGUUACAUGUCAAACCUGGGUGAGGUUCUUCGCUUUGUCUCGAAUUAAACCACACGCUCCACUGCUUGUGCAGGUCCCCGUCAAUUCCUUUGAGUUUUAACCUUGCGGUCGUACUCCCCAGGCGGGAUGCUUAAUGCGUUAGCUUGGGACACUGAAGGGGUCAAUACCUCCAAUAUCUAGCAUCCAUCGUUUACGGCGUAGACUAC
This 366-nucleotide unclassified non-coding RNA is filed under the name uncultured bacterium. Its description in RNAcentral is "contains 16S-23S intergenic spacer region". The record is from RNAcentral.